GAUGAACGCUGGCGGCGUGCCUAAUACAUGCAAGUCGAGCGAACGGACGAGAAGCUUGCUUCUCUGAUGUUAGCGGCGGACGGGUGAGUAACACGUGGAUAACCUACCUAUAAGACUGGGAUAACUUCGGGAAACCGGAGCUAAUACCGGAUAAUAUUUUGAACCGCAUGGUUCAAAAGUGAAAGACGGUCUUGCUGUCACCUAUAGAUGGAUCCGCGCUGCAUUAGCUAGCUGGUAAGGUAACGGCUUACCAAGGCAACGAUGCAUAGCCGACCUGAGAGGGUGAUCGGCCACACUGGAACUGAGACACGGUCCAGACUCCUACGGGAGGCAGCAGUAGGGAAUCUUCCGCAAUGGGCGAAAGCCUGACGGAGCAACGCCGCGUGAGUGAUGAAGGUCUUCGGAUCGUAAAACUCUGUUAUUAGGGAAGAACAUAUGUGUAAGUAACUGUGCACAUCUUGACGGUACCUAAUCAGAAAGCCACGGCUAACUACGU
This 496-nucleotide ribosomal RNA is filed under the name uncultured bacterium. RNAcentral's name for it is "partial 16S ribosomal RNA". It matches the Rfam family "Bacterial small subunit ribosomal RNA", at positions 28 to 506 of the family's 1533-position model. The record is from RNAcentral.